This 74-nucleotide transfer RNA is filed under the name Caudoviricetes sp. RNAcentral describes it as "tRNA-Arg". It matches the Rfam family "tRNA". From Rfam's summary of the family: Transfer RNA (tRNA) molecules are approximately 80 nucleotides in length. Their secondary structure includes four short double-helical elements and three loops (D, anti-codon, and T loops). Further hydrogen bonds mediate the characteristic L-shaped molecular structure. tRNAs have two regions of fundamental functional importance: the anti-codon, which is responsible for specific mRNA codon recognition, and the 3' end, to which the tRNAs corresponding amino acid is attached (by aminoacyl-tRNA synthetases). tRNAs cope with the degeneracy of the genetic code in two manners: having more than one tRNA (with a specific anti-codon) for a particular amino acid; and 'wobble' base-pairing, i.e. permitting non-standard base-pairing at the 3rd anti-codon position. Lineage: Duplodnaviria; Heunggongvirae; Uroviricota; Caudoviricetes. The record is from RNAcentral.
CUCUCCUUAGCUCAGUGGACACGAGCAUAUGCCUUCUAAGCAUACGGUCACAGGUUCGAAUCCUGUAGGAGAGG